RNAcentral lists this ribosomal RNA (355 nucleotides) under uncultured bacterium. RNAcentral's name for it is "partial 16S ribosomal RNA". It matches the Rfam family "Bacterial small subunit ribosomal RNA", at positions 338 to 710 of the family's 1533-position model. The record is from RNAcentral.
CCUACGGGUGGCAGCAGUGGGGAAUAUUGGACAAUGGGGGAAACCCUUAUCCAGCGACGUCGCGUGAGGGAAGAAGGUUCUCGGAUUGUUAACCUCUGUCAGUGUGGACGUUAAUGACGGUACCUACGGAGGAAGCUAUGGCUAACUACGUGCCAGCAGCCGCGGUAAUACGCAGGUGGCGAGCGUUGUCCGGAAUUACUGGGUGUAAAGGGAGAGUAGGCGGGAUGUCAAGUCAGAAGUGAAAAUUAUGGGCUCAACUCAUAACUUGCUUUUGAAACUGAGAGUCUUGAGUGAAGUAGAGGCAAGCGGAAUUCCUAGUGUAGCGGUGAAAUGCGUAGAUAUUAGGAGGAACACC